RNAcentral lists this ribosomal RNA (285 nucleotides) under Bacillus pumilus. RNAcentral's name for it is "partial 16S ribosomal RNA". It matches the Rfam family "Bacterial small subunit ribosomal RNA", at positions 1140 to 1424 of the family's 1533-position model. The record is from RNAcentral. Lineage: Bacteria; Bacillati; Bacillota; Bacilli; Caryophanales; Bacillaceae.
CUAAGGUGACUGCCGGUGACAAACCGGAGGAAGGUGGGGAUGACGUCAAAUCAUCAUGCCCCUUAUGACCUGGGCUACACACGUGCUACAAUGGACAGAACAAAGGGCUGCGAGACCGCAAGGUUUAGCCAAUCCCAUAAAUCUGUUCUCAGUUCGGAUCGCAGUCUGCAACUCGACUGCGUGAAGCUGGAAUCGCUAGUAAUCGCGGAUCAGCAUGCCGCGGUGAAUACGUUCCCGGGCCUUGUACACACCGCCCGUCACACCACGAGAGUUUGCAACACCCGA